GUCCCUAUAGUUUAACAGGAUAAAACUGCGGCCUCCUAAGCUGCUGCUCCAGGUUCGAGUCCUGGUGGGGACACCA
This 76-nucleotide transfer RNA is filed under the name Moritella sp. RNAcentral's name for it is "tRNA-Arg". It matches the Rfam family "tRNA". From Rfam's summary of the family: Transfer RNA (tRNA) molecules are approximately 80 nucleotides in length. Their secondary structure includes four short double-helical elements and three loops (D, anti-codon, and T loops). Further hydrogen bonds mediate the characteristic L-shaped molecular structure. tRNAs have two regions of fundamental functional importance: the anti-codon, which is responsible for specific mRNA codon recognition, and the 3' end, to which the tRNAs corresponding amino acid is attached (by aminoacyl-tRNA synthetases). tRNAs cope with the degeneracy of the genetic code in two manners: having more than one tRNA (with a specific anti-codon) for a particular amino acid; and 'wobble' base-pairing, i.e. permitting non-standard base-pairing at the 3rd anti-codon position. RNAcentral also lists the same sequence under 2 other names. The record is from RNAcentral. Lineage: Bacteria; Pseudomonadati; Pseudomonadota; Gammaproteobacteria; Alteromonadales; Moritellaceae.